Molecule: long non-coding RNA, 684 nt
Filed under: Apteryx rowi (Okarito brown kiwi)
Lineage: Eukaryota; Metazoa; Chordata; Aves; Apterygiformes; Apterygidae
Description: lncRNA (ENSARWG00000017428.1)
Source: RNAcentral
UGCUGGGGGUGCUGGGGGGUGCCGGGGUCCCAGCCCCGCGCCCCCCGCAGCUCCCUGGCGCCCGGAGCACUCGUGCCUGGCCGGGGCGCGGACUCCGACCUUGCCCCGCGCUCGCCGGCUGGCCGCGGGCCCAGCGCCCAGCAGCGAAGCUCUGCAGAUCAGUGCUCCCACGAGAUAAGACGGGGUCUGCUCCCUGCUCCUCGCCGGCAGGAAAAUCAGCGAUGCCUUAAACCAGCCGGUCCUGGCGAGCACACGCUGCCCGUCCCGCUGCUUGCAGGAUGGCUCUGGCCAUGGCUGCGCCGGCAGGCGCUGCAGGAUGCAACGCCACGGGAGCCGUGCAGAGCCCCGACGGCUGUCCUGCUCCCGGUGUCACCGGUGCCAUGUCCUGGGCUCGGUGCACCCAGUGCUGCCGGGAAGGGGAACCGGUGGCCAGGGAAGGUGCAGGAUGUCACUCCACUGCUGCUCGACCCCACUGUUUCCCCACCGCCCUGGGGAGAGGAAAUGGCCCCAGAUUCGGGACAGCGAGCCCAUUGUGGAGCCCCACUGAAGCCCUCGGAGCUGCCCCGCUCCGGGGGCUCUUUCUCCGAGCGCCGCCGGGGGCACCAGCCCUCUGCACUGCAGUGACCGCUCUGCCCAAAGUAAACAUGGAAAAAAGCUCUAUUGCUGCCCUGGCUCCUGCUGGCG